GACGAACGCUGGCGGCGUGCUUAACACAUGCAAGUCGAACGGAAAGGCCCUGCUUUUGUGGGGUGCUCGAGUGGCGAACGGGUGAGUAACACGUGAGUAACCUGCCCUUCACUUUGGGAUAACUUAAGGAAACUGGGGCUAAUACCGGAUAGGAGCUCCUGCUGCAUGGUGGGGGUUGGAAAGUUUCGGCGGUUGGGGAUGGACUCGCGGCUUAUCAGCUUGUUGGUGGGGUAGUGGCUUACCAAGGCUUUGACGGGUAGCCGGCCUGAGAGGGUGACCGGCCACAUUGGGACUGAGAUACGGCCCAGACUCCUACGGGAGGCAGCAGUGGAGAAUAUUGCACAAUGGGCGGAAGCCUGAUGCAGCAACGCCGCGUGCGGGAUGACGGCCUUCGGGUUGUAAACCGCUGUCGCCUGUAACGAAGCGUGAGUGACGGUAAUGGGUAAAGAAGCACCGGCUAACUACGUG
Molecule: ribosomal RNA, 468 nt
Filed under: uncultured bacterium
Lineage: Bacteria
Description: partial 16S ribosomal RNA
Rfam family: Bacterial small subunit ribosomal RNA
Source: RNAcentral